This 253-nucleotide ribosomal RNA is filed under the name uncultured bacterium. RNAcentral describes it as "partial 16S ribosomal RNA". It matches the Rfam family "Bacterial small subunit ribosomal RNA", at positions 524 to 776 of the family's 1533-position model. The record is from RNAcentral.
UACAGAGGUCUCAAGCGUUGUUCGGAUUCAUUGGGCGUAAAGAGCUCGUAGGCGGUCUGUCACGUCGGAUGUGAAAACUCGGGGCUCAACCCCGAGCCUGCAUACGAUACGGGCAGACUUGAGUUCGGCAGGGGAGACUGGAAUUCCUGGUGUAGCGGUGAAAUGCGCAGAUAUCAGGAGGAACACCGGUGGCGAAGGCGGGUCUCUGGGCCGAUACUGACGCUGAGGAGCGAAAGCGUGGGGAGCGAACAGG